UACGGGGGGGAGCAAGCGUUUGUUCGGAUUUACUGGGCGUAAAGGGCGCGUAGGCGGUCAGCACAAGUCAGUUGUGAAAUCUCCGGGCUUAACCCGGAAAGGUCAACUGAUACUGUGCGACUAGAGUGCGGAAGGGGCAACUGGAAUUCUCGGUGUAGCGGUGAAAUGCGUAGAUAUCGAGAGGAACACCUGCGGCGAAGGCGGGUUGCUGGGCUGAUACUGACGCUGAGGCGCGAAAGCCAGGGGAGCGAACGGGG
Molecule: ribosomal RNA, 257 nt
Filed under: uncultured bacterium
Lineage: Bacteria
Description: partial 16S ribosomal RNA
Rfam family: Bacterial small subunit ribosomal RNA
Source: RNAcentral